RNAcentral lists this ribosomal RNA (1107 nucleotides) under Salmonella enterica subsp. enterica serovar Typhimurium. Its description in RNAcentral is "partial 23S ribosomal RNA". It matches the Rfam family "Bacterial large subunit ribosomal RNA", at positions 592 to 1616 of the family's 2925-position model. The record is from RNAcentral. Lineage: Bacteria; Pseudomonadati; Pseudomonadota; Gammaproteobacteria; Enterobacterales; Enterobacteriaceae.
UGUGACUGCGUACCUUUUGUAUAAUGGGUCAGCGACUUAUAUUCUGUAGCAAGGUUAACCGUAUAGGGGAGCCGGAGGGAAACCGAGUCUUAAUUGGGCGUUAAGUUGCAGGGUAUAGACCCGAAACCCGGUGAUCUAGCCAUGGGCAGGUUGAAGGUUGGGUAACACUAACUGGAGGACCGAACCGACUAAUGUUGAAAAAUUAGCGGAUGACCUGUGGCUGGGGGUGAAAGGCCAAUCAAACCGGGAGAUAGCUGGUUCUCCCCGAAAGCUAUUUAGGUAGCGCCUCGUGAAUUCAUCUCCGGGGGUAGAGCACUGUUUCGGCUAGGGGGCCAUCCCGGCUUACCAACCCGAUGCAAACUGCGAAUACCGGAGAAUGUUAUCACGGGAGACACACGGCGGGUGCUAACGUCCGUCGUGAAGAGGGAAACAACCCAGACCGCCAGCUAAGGUCCCAAAGUCAUGGUUAAGUGGGAAACGAUGUGGGAAGGCCCAGACAGCCAGGAUGUUGGCUUAGAAGCAGCCAUCAUUUAAAGAAAGCGUAAUAGCUCACUGGUCGAGUCGGCCUGCGCGGAAGAUGUAACGGGGCUAAACCAUGCACCGAAGCUGCGGCAGCGAACGUAUCACCCAAGACAACUUUACGGAGUUGACGAUUGACGGAGCGAAGCGACGUCAAAGCGUUCAUUAAAGUCGAGUUGGCUUAGGGAUACGUUCGUUGGGUAGGGGAGCGUUCUGUAAGCCUGUGAAGGUGUGUCGUGAGGCAUGCUGGAGGUAUCAGAAGUGCGAAUGCUGACAUAAGUAACGAUAAAGCGGGUGAAAAGCCCGCUCGCCGGAAGACCAAGGGUUCCUGUCCAACGUUAAUCGGGGCAGGGUGAGUCGACCCCUAAGGCGAGGCCGAAAGGCGUAGUCGAUGGGAAACGGGUUAAUAUUCCCGUACUUGGUGUUACUGCGAAGGGGGGACGGAGAAGGCUAUGUUGGCCGGGCGACGGUUGUCCCGGUUUAAGCGUGUAGGUGUGUGUUCCAGGUAAAUCCGGUUCACUUUAACACUGAGGCGUGACGACGAGGCACUACGGUGCUGAAGCAACAAAUGCCCUGCUUCCAGGAAAA